RNAcentral lists this ribosomal RNA (497 nucleotides) under uncultured bacterium. RNAcentral's name for it is "partial 16S ribosomal RNA". It matches the Rfam family "Bacterial small subunit ribosomal RNA", at positions 28 to 507 of the family's 1533-position model. The record is from RNAcentral.
GAUGAACGCUGGCGGCGUGCCUAAUACAUGCAAGUCGAGCGAACAGACGAGGAGCUUGCUCCUCUGACGUUAGCGGCGGACGUGUGAGUAACACGUGGAUAACCUACCUAUAAGACUGGGAUAACUUCGGGAAACCGGAGCUAAUACCGGAUAAUAUAUUGAACCGCAUGGUUCAAUAGUGAAAGACGGUUUUGCUGUCACUUAUAGAUGGAUCCGCGCCGCAUUAGCUAGUUGGUAAGGUAACGGCUUACCAAGGCGACGAUGCGUAGCCGACCGGAGAGGAUGAUCGGCCACACUGGAACGGAGACACGGACCAGACUACUACGGGAGGCAGCAGUAGGGAAUCUGACGCAAUGGGCGAAAGCCUGACGGAGCAACGCCGCGUGAGUGAUGAAGGUCUUCGGAUCGUAAAACUCUGUUAUUAGGGAAGAACAAAUGUGUAAGUAACUAUGCACGUCUUGACGGUACCUAAUCAGAAAGCCACGGCUAACUACGUG